AAUAUAGGUGCGCAUUGCAAAGUUGGUUACACAGGCCUUUGCAUCGGUUUUAAAAAAUCUCCUUUGAUUUUAAAAAGAAAAUUUCGAUUAUUUCGUUAAAUAAAAACCAUCACACUUUGCAAUUAUUACAUAGUUAUGGAGAACAUAAAAAACGGCCGUCAAUAUUAUAAUCACAUGGAGCACCGAGACAUCCAUAAUAACAACGAAUACAUCAAAGUCGAUUGGAGUGAUAUCAUUAAUGAACCGACGGGAGUUCGCAGCGCUGACUUUAGCUGGAAUUUAUCUUACAAGAUUUAUACUAAAAGCCAAAGCUGCUGCUACAAAUCAUUAGCUUACAUUUUGGGACCAAUUUUUGCCUUGUGGUUCGUUUCUUAUGUAUUAUUAGCACAUCUGGUGUUACCAGCCAUGUCUGAGCCGUUUUAGAAUAAGAUUUUCCUUCCUACAACGAUUGAAUAUCAUUAUUUUGGAUGCGACGUGUGUGCCACUGAUGAAAGCUUGCAGUAACAUUUUUUCAAAUGUCAACGUGCGCUACGAGAAAAUGACAGCAGACUUUUCGCCGGCUCAUCGACAGCGAGAACGCGUUAUUCAGAUUGAACCUACUGAAAUUAUAUACGACGAUGUGAAGAACGAAAAAUAGAAUCAAUCGAUAAUAUAUUGCUGCUCGGAUAUUUUGUUUACGAAUUGGACGAUGACGACACGUGAAAUAUCCGGAAAAAUGAAAUGUACAUAGGUUAUUAAGCUAUUUGGCUAGGAAAAAUUAUUUCUGUGUAGCUAAUAUUUGUUAAAGCUUGAAUUCAGCAUAAAAUUAAAUAGCAAAACUUUAAAAGAAAAUAUUAUAUUCGACCGAAAA
Molecule: long non-coding RNA, 850 nt
Organism: Daphnia pulex (common water flea)
Lineage: Eukaryota; Metazoa; Arthropoda; Branchiopoda; Diplostraca; Daphniidae
Exons: 4
Source: RefSeq, a predicted model, not a curated record